Molecule: ribosomal RNA, 253 nt
Filed under: uncultured bacterium
Lineage: Bacteria
Also listed under: 1 other name
Description: partial 16S ribosomal RNA
Rfam family: Bacterial small subunit ribosomal RNA
Source: RNAcentral
UACGUAGGGUGCGAGCGUUAAUCGGAAUUACUGGGCGUAAAGCGUGCGCAGGCGGUUAUAUAAGACAGAUGUGAAAUCCCCGGGCUCAACCUGGGAACUGCGUUUGUGACUGUAUGACUAGAGUACGGCAGAGGGAGGUGGAAUUCCGCGUGUAGCAGUGAAAUGCGUAGAUAUGCGGAGGAACACCGAUGGCGAAGGCAGCCUCCUGGGCCAGUACUGACGCUCAUGCACGAAAGCGUGGGGAGCAAACAGG